RNAcentral lists this ribosomal RNA (545 nucleotides) under Caenestheriella sp. JRdW-2005. RNAcentral describes it as "SSU rRNA". It matches the Rfam family "Eukaryotic small subunit ribosomal RNA", at positions 44 to 661 of the family's 1831-position model. Lineage: Eukaryota; Metazoa; Arthropoda; Branchiopoda; Diplostraca; Cyzicidae. RNAcentral also lists the same sequence under 1 other name. The record is from RNAcentral.
UUAAGCCAUGCAUGUCUAAGUACAAGCCGCUAUGCGGCGAAACCGCGAAUGGCUCAUUAAAUCAGUUAUGGUUCCUUAGAUCGUACCAUCCUACUUGGAUAACUGUGGUAAUUCUAGAGCUAAUACAUGCACAACAGCUUCUUUGAGCUGAUCGCACGGUCUCGAACCGGCGACGCAUCUUUCAAAUGUCUGCCUUAUCAACUGUCGAUGGUAGGUUAUGCGCCUACCAUGGUUGCAACGGGUAACGGGGAAUCAGGGUUCGAUUCCGGAGAGGGAGCCUGAGAAACGGCUACCACAUCCAAGGAAGGCAGCAGGCGCGCAAAUUACCCACUCCCGGCACGGGGAGGUAGUGACGAAAAAUAACGAUACGGGACUCUUCCGAGGCCCCGUGAUUGGAAUGAGUACACUUUAAAUCCUUUAACGAGGACCUAUUGGAGGGCAAGUCUGGUGCCAGCAGCCGCGGUAACUCCAGCUCCAAUAGCGUAUAUUAAAGUUGUUGCGGUUAAAAAGCUCGUAGUUGGAUUCCGGUCGCGGUCGGGCGGUGC